This 471-nucleotide ribosomal RNA is filed under the name Bacillus cereus. Its description in RNAcentral is "bacterial SSU rRNA". It matches the Rfam family "Bacterial small subunit ribosomal RNA", at positions 389 to 851 of the family's 1533-position model. Lineage: Bacteria; Bacillati; Bacillota; Bacilli; Caryophanales; Bacillaceae. The record is from RNAcentral.
GAGCACGCCGCGUGAGUGAUGAAGGCUUUCGGGUCGUAAAACUCUGUUGUUAGGGAAGAACAAGUGCUAGUUGAAUAAGCUGGCACCUUGACGGUACCUAACCAGAAAGCCACGGCUAACUACGUGCCAACAGCCGCGGUAAUACGUAGGUGGCAAGCGUUAUCCGGAAUUAUUGGGCGUAAAGCGCGCGCAGGUGGUUUCUUAAGUCUGAUGUGAAAGCCCACGGCUCAACCGUGGAGGGUCAUUGGAAACUGGGAGACUUGAGUGCAAAAGAGGAAAGUGGAAUUCCAUGUGUAGCGGUGAAAUGCGUAGAGAUAUGGAGGAACACCAGUGGCGAAGGCGACUUUCUGGUCUGUAACUGACACUGAGGCGCGAAAGCGUGGGGAGCAAACAGGAUUAGAUACCCUGGUAGUCCACGCCGUAAACGAUGAGUGCUAAGUGUUAGAGGGUUUCCGCCCUUUAGUGCUGAAG